CCUACGGGAGGCAGCAGUGAGGAAUAUUGGUCAAUGGACGAGAGUCUGAACCAGCCAAGUAGCGUGAAGGAUGACUGCCCUAUGGGUUGUAAACUUCUUUUAUAUGGGAAUAAAAUGUUCCACGUGUGGGAUUUUGUAUGUACCAUAUGAAUAAGGAUCGGCUAACUCCGUGCCAGCAGCCGCGGUAAUACGGAGGCUCCGAGCGUUAUCCGGAUUUAUUGGGUUUAAAGGGAGCGUAGGUGGAUUGUUAAGUCAGUUGUGAAAGUUUGGGGCUCAACCGUAAAAUUGCAGUUGAAACUGGCAGUCUUGAGUACGGUAGAGGUAGGCGGAAUUCGUGGUGUAGCGGUGAAAUGCUUAGAUAUCACGAAGAACUCCGAUUGCGAAGGCAGUUCACUGGACUGCAACUGACACUGAGGCUCGAAAGUGUGGGUAUCAAACAGGAUUAGAUACCCGAGUAGUC
RNAcentral lists this ribosomal RNA (460 nucleotides) under uncultured bacterium. RNAcentral describes it as "partial 16S ribosomal RNA". It matches the Rfam family "Bacterial small subunit ribosomal RNA", at positions 338 to 795 of the family's 1533-position model. The record is from RNAcentral.